This 253-nucleotide ribosomal RNA is filed under the name uncultured bacterium. RNAcentral describes it as "partial 16S ribosomal RNA". It matches the Rfam family "Bacterial small subunit ribosomal RNA", at positions 524 to 776 of the family's 1533-position model. The record is from RNAcentral.
UACGUAGGUGGCAAGCGUUGUUCGGAAUUACUGGGCGUAAAGGGCGCGUAGGCGGUCUUUUAAGUCUUGUGUGAAAUCCCUCGGCUCAACUGAGGAACUGCACGGGAUACUGGAAGACUUGAGUUCGGGAGAGGGAAGCGGAAUUCCGGGUGUAGCGGUGAAAUGCGUAGAUAUCCGGAGGAACACCGGUGGCGAAGGCGGCUUCCUGGACCGACACUGACGCUGAGGCGCGAAAGCUAGGGGAGCAAACGGG